ACCAUUAUGGUUUCUUAAUGGCUUGGAUUUGGGUGUUUGCCUUUCGAGGCUUGCCUUAAAAGAGUUAGCAUGUUGAUUAAUCAUCUGUCUGGCGUAAUAAGUUUCGCUGGGCUGGUUAUAAAGUGUGCUUCUAAUAGCCUUUAAUGGCAAUUAAUUUUAUCUUUGACCUCAAAUCAGGUAGGGCUACCCGCUGAACUUAA
This 200-nucleotide unclassified non-coding RNA is filed under the name soil metagenome. Its description in RNAcentral is "partial contains internal transcribed spacer 2 and large subunit ribosomal RNA". The record is from RNAcentral.